GGGCCCGCACAAGCGGUGGAGCAUGUGGUUUAAUUCGAUGAUACGCGAGGAACCUUACCAGGGUUUAAAUGCAGAACGACAGGGGUGGAAACACCCCCUUCUUCGGACGGACUGCAAGGUGCUGCAUGGUUGUCGUCAGCUCGUGCUGUGAAGUGUCGGGUUAAGUCCCAUAACGAGCGCAACCCCCAUUUCUAGUUGCCAGCGGUUCGGCCGGGGACUCUAGAGAAACUGCCAGCGUAAGCUGUGAGGAAGGUGGGGAUGACGUCAAAUCAUCACGGCCCUUACAUCCUGGGCCACACACGUGCUACAAUGGUGGGGACAACAGGUUGCCAACCCGCGAGGGUGAGCCAAUCUCUUAAAGCUUGUCUCAGUUCGGAUAGGAGUCUGCAACUCGACUCCUUGAAGUUGGAGUCGCUAGUAAUCG
Molecule: ribosomal RNA, 424 nt
Filed under: uncultured bacterium
Lineage: Bacteria
Description: bacterial SSU rRNA
Rfam family: Bacterial small subunit ribosomal RNA
Source: RNAcentral